GGGGGAAUAGCUCAGUGGUAGAGCUCUUGCAUUGCAUAUUAGAGGUUCUAGGUUCAAUCCCUAGCACAACCU
RNAcentral lists this transfer RNA (72 nucleotides) under Heterocephalus glaber (naked mole-rat). It matches the Rfam family "tRNA". From Rfam's summary of the family: Transfer RNA (tRNA) molecules are approximately 80 nucleotides in length. Their secondary structure includes four short double-helical elements and three loops (D, anti-codon, and T loops). Lineage: Eukaryota; Metazoa; Chordata; Mammalia; Rodentia; Bathyergidae. The record is from Rfam by way of RNAcentral.